AAGAAUCAAUGUGUUACGAAGCUA
This 24-nucleotide non-coding RNA is filed under the name Arabidopsis thaliana (thale cress). Lineage: Eukaryota; Viridiplantae; Streptophyta; Magnoliopsida; Brassicales; Brassicaceae. The record is from RNAcentral.